This 927-nucleotide ribosomal RNA is filed under the name uncultured Sebacinales. RNAcentral's name for it is "bacterial SSU rRNA". The stretch from base 1 to 367 matches the Rfam family "Eukaryotic small subunit ribosomal RNA", at positions 1467 to 1831 of the family's 1831-position model. Lineage: Eukaryota; Fungi; Basidiomycota; Agaricomycetes; Sebacinales. The record is from RNAcentral.
AUGCCCUUAGAUGUUCUGGGCCGCACGCGCGCUACACUGACAAAGCCAGCGAGUUUAUCACCUUGGCCGGAAGGUCCGGGUAAUCUUGUGAAACUUUGUCGUGCUGGGGAUAGAGCAUUGCAAUUAUUGCUCUUCAACGAGGAAUGCCUAGUAAGCGCAAGUCAUCAGCUUGCGUUGAUUACGUCCCUGCCCUUUGUACACACCGCCCGUCGCUACUACCGAUUGAAUGGCUUAGUGAGGUCUUCGGAUUGGCUUUGAGGACCCGGCAACGGGAUUUCGUUGCUGAGAAGUUGAUCAAACUUGGUCAUUUAGAGGAAGUAAAAGUCGUAACAAGGUUUCCGUAGGUGAACCUGCGGAAGGAUCAUUAAUGAAACUUCAAGUCGGCCGUUCUGUGCUGGUGGAAACACAUGUGCACGUUCAGUCGCAAUCCACACACCUGUGCACUUUGACUCUGAGCACCGCCGGUAACACGGCAGAAGGUUCUUAGGACUAAGGUCUGAACCCGGUACUCGAGUAUUUUACACACUCUGAAUGUAAUGGAAUGUCACUGUACAAUGUACAAUUAUAAACAACUUUCAACAACGGAUCUCUUGGCUCUCGCAUCGAUGAAGAACGCAGCGAAAUGCGAUAAGUAAUGUGAAUUGCAGAAUUCAGUGAAUCAUCGAAUCUUUGAACGCACCUUGCACCCUUUGGUAUUCCGAAGGGUACACCCGUUUGAGUGUCAUUGUAAUCUCACUUCAAUAACUUUGUUGUUGAAUGUGGACUUGGAUGUUGUCGUGUUCAACGACUCAUCUUAAAUGCCUGAGUGUACCCUGCUUUGCAGCGUAUCAGUGUGAUAAACAUCUUCACUGUUAAGUCUUUCGAGACACGCUUGUGUUGUGGGCUCUAUGCUUCUAACCGUCUUUGGACAAUCUCUGACAAUUUGAC